CUCCUGGCACCUGAAAUGUACUGGUUAGCACUGCAUUUAAGUACUCAUAGGCCCUAUAAUCUCUUUCCAAGCUACUUCACUGGCACAUUUGCGUUGGGAUAGUCAAAGUUUGUAUAUGCUGCAACGUGUAAUAUCAAGGGCUGCAAGACAAGGAACUAAAGAAGGAAAGGAGAAGACAAUUAAGUAGCAGUUGCAGAACAGUCAAGGGGUACAACUGAAACUCACACAUUUGGGAAGUCUGCUACAUUUGUUUCUUAGCACAAGAGUGAAACCAGUUUGAAAGAUUAACAUCUCCAGUGUGAGCUGGUGUUUGCAGGGGAAUUAGAGAACUCCAAGGCUCUACAGGUGACUAAGAGCAAAGAGCUUGAAACAAUACUGUGCCAGAUUAUUGGCUCUUGAGUCGUACCAUAACAGACAAACUGGUGAAUUACAAAUGAACUUAGUAACUUCUAGCAGAGAGGCCUGAGUUUGAUGCCUGCAUCCUCCACAUUCUGUUGUAAGUCUCUUAACCUCUCAAAUAUUUCUGUGGUACACAUGAAAACACACCGUGCCAUUGCUUGAUAACUGUUGCUGUGGUUAUUAAUGAUUAAAGGAUACAUUAGUGUUAUGUUUCACAGUAAUUCUUCUUAUUUAAAUUAUACAUUUUUAAGUUGAGAACAUAAUGCACCUGUCAGAUCAGCCAUUCAUUUUAAUACAUAUAUGUAUGGAGGAAUUUGUUUUUUUCUUCAAAUAUUUUAUUUCAAACAAUCUGUCAUUUUGUGCUAGGUAAUGUCCCUUAAACAGAAAUGAAGCUUAUGUGGUAUCCUAUAAAUUCUUUGAUGUGCCAAGAGUUUUGUGUUUCUAGGUAAUUUCUUUAGUCACUUAGCACACAAGAAGAGAUUGUGAGAAUUAAAUGUAGGUUUGCACAUUUUUUUAUGAAUGCUUUAGAUUGUUGAUUCAUAUAUACUACCUGUCAUGUCUAAAUGCACAUCAAAAUAUGUUGUUAUAUAAUGAAUAGUGUUUAACUGUUUUACUUUCACAUAUUAUUUUUUUACCUUAGUACAUUUAGAUUGCAAGGUACACCAUUAUUAGAAUUUAAAAAAUUGACAACUAACAGUUCAGAACAGAUGUGUCUUCUCCCACUCCCUACUCUGUACAGAAGCAAAAAAUAAUUACAUUUUAACAUAAGUGUAUACUGAUAAAAGUUAUGUUCUGGCAUGGUUCAUUCCUAAUUAGGCACUUGUAGAAAGGGCUGUUUGUAAUGUGCAUACAUAAAGAGCAGCUGAUAUACUGCAGUAUGCUUCUUGGGGAAACUAUAACUAUCCUUGGAUGUAGUCCCUUGCCAAAAUGUUGUCUCUGCUAUUGUGUCUCACUACUUGAAAUUAAUGUAAGCGUACUUCAUGUAAAAAAAAAAAAAAAAAACUUUGUAUGUAUAUAUUGUACUCAUGUGGAACUACCAAGGGCAGUUUUAAAGAAUCCCCCGUAAAUAAGAAGGGAUUGUUGAAAUCCCAUUUAACCAACUGUGACUAAUUAAGGUCUGUUUGCUGGAGUAUUAUUGCAUUGUUAGUAUUAUGUUCUAUUUUGAUUCCAUUGCUGUGUGACUGUUAUCCUAUUUAUUUAAGGUGGUGUGGAGAGUGGCUAGUCUUCUUGCCAAAAACAAUGUUGAAGUUUUUUUAUAUAUGUUUUUCAAUAUUUUAUUUUAUUGGAUUAGUUUAGAGUGCAUUCCACUAGCUGACAUGAAUCUUAUAUAUUUAGUUGGCACUCAUUGCAUCACAAGAUGUUUAUCGUUAGGAUUAGUGCUAUAGAAAUGCAUAUCUAAUGGGAAAUAGUUGAAGGUAAACAUCAGGCUUUUGGCCUAAUCUUUUUCAGCCAUUGGGUGUCCAUGGCUGUCUGCGGAUGCAUCUCAUGAUGGCCACUGGGAGGUGUCUGACUGCUGUAGAGAGUGCACAUCUCACCUUACUUGGUUCUUCUUGUUUUUUGCCACUUGAGCAGCCAGUCAGGUUGCUUCACUAUUUCAUUGGGCACUUCUUAGGUCUCAGUC
This is a long non-coding RNA of Protopterus annectens (West African lungfish), 2020 nucleotides long. RefSeq lists it as uncharacterized. The record is from RefSeq and is a predicted model, not a curated record. NCBI's taxonomy places the organism in Eukaryota, Metazoa, Chordata, Ceratodontiformes, Protopteridae. The transcript has 3 exons.